GCACUUGUGGCCGAGAGGUUAAGGCAAUGGACUCAUAAUCCAUCUCAUCGCUGGUUCGAGCCCAGCCAGGUGCA
Transfer RNA from Vigna angularis (adzuki bean), 74 nucleotides. It matches the Rfam family "tRNA". Rfam says of the family: Transfer RNA (tRNA) molecules are approximately 80 nucleotides in length. Lineage: Eukaryota; Viridiplantae; Streptophyta; Magnoliopsida; Fabales; Fabaceae. The record is from Rfam.